Molecule: non-coding RNA, 409 nt
Filed under: Protomyces inouyei
Lineage: Eukaryota; Fungi; Ascomycota; Taphrinomycetes; Taphrinales; Protomycetaceae
Description: group I intron
Rfam family: Group I catalytic intron (bases 43-379)
About the family: Group I catalytic introns are large self-splicing ribozymes.
Source: RNAcentral
UAACAAGGUUUUGUUCUCGAGUAACGAGGAUGGAUAUUGAUCCUUCCGCGGUGACACUCACAGAAGCCUUUGCAGCCUCGCAAGAGUUUGGCGCGACAGUAAAGAAUGCCUGGAUGCAAGUCAGCGACGCUGGCAACACUUUCGAAUUGCGGGGACGUCCUUAGAGCUCAGUUCUACCAACCAGUGAGGGAAACCUCCGCUGGGGCCUAUGCUAAAAACAUGGGAGAUGGUAAGAAGGAACUGAGAUUGGAUAAUCCGCAGCCAAGCCCUAAGGUGUGGAAGCACUAUGGGACAGGUUCACAGACUAAGUGGAAGUGGGUGGCAUGCGUUAAGGCGUGUGCUGCUUAAGAUAUAGUCGGUCUUGCUGAGAAAUCAUCAAGAAGUCACUGCACAGAUUGAACGUUCCGUA